CCUCCGUCCCAUUAUAAGUGCAACAACUUUAAUCGUUCGUCUUAUUUGAAAGUUUUUUAUAAUUAAUAUUUUUUAUUGUUAUGAGAUGAUAAAAUAUAAAUAGUAUUUUACUCGUGACUUAUGUUUUUAAAUUUUUUCAAAAACUUUUCAAAUAAGACGGACGGUCAAAGUUGGGCGCGGAAAACCAUGGCUGCACUUAUA
MicroRNA precursor from Oryza rufipogon (brownbeard rice), 201 nucleotides. It matches the Rfam family "MIR812 microRNA precursor family". The record is from Rfam. Lineage: Eukaryota; Viridiplantae; Streptophyta; Magnoliopsida; Poales; Poaceae.